ACGAACGCUGGCGGCGUGCUUAACGCAUGCAAGUCGAACGGAAAGGCCUGCUUUCCCUUGUGGAUUGCGGGUACUCGAGUGGCGAACGGGUGAGUAACACGUGAGUGAUCUGCCCCCAACUUGGGUAUAAGCCUGGGAAACUGGGUCUAAUUCCCGAUAGGACUGCAGGGUGGUGCCUGUGGUGGAAAACGAUUUUCUAGUGGUUGGGGAUGAGCUCGCGGCCUAUCAGCUUGUUGGUGGGGUAAUGGCCUACCAAGGCGGCGACGGGUAGCCGGCCUGAGAGGGUGGACGGCGACAUUGGGACUGAGAUACGGCCCAGACUCCUACGGGAGGCAGCAGUGGGGAAUAUUGGACAAUGGGCGGAAGCCUGAUGCAGCGACGCCGCGUGGGGGAUGACGGCCUUCGGGUUGUAAACUCCUUUCGACCGCGAGGAAGCCACCUGGUUGGAAGGGUGGUGACGGUAGUGGUAGAAGAAGCACCGGCUAACUACGUG
RNAcentral lists this ribosomal RNA (493 nucleotides) under uncultured bacterium. RNAcentral describes it as "partial 16S ribosomal RNA". It matches the Rfam family "Bacterial small subunit ribosomal RNA", at positions 29 to 507 of the family's 1533-position model. The record is from RNAcentral.